Molecule: long non-coding RNA, 1920 nt
Filed under: Amazona collaria (yellow-billed parrot)
Lineage: Eukaryota; Metazoa; Chordata; Aves; Psittaciformes; Psittacidae
Description: lncRNA (ENSACOG00000009611.1)
Source: RNAcentral
GGCGCAGGCAGGCCACGGCGGGGGGAGGUUUAUUGUGGGGGUGCAGCAGCCCCCCGGCACCUGAGAGAAGGCAGAGCUGCGCCGGCAGCGCUAAUAGUCCUCGGCCAUGGCGAGCACAACGAGCGCAGUCCAGCCGGCAAAGGGCCGGCAGCCCUGCCCGCGCCCCGAGCUGUCGCUGUAGUGCUCCCACAGGAAGCCGCUGUCCGCGUGCUGCCGGUACACGUUGGUGAUGAGGUUGUGGCGCAGCUCCCGGUACAGCUCCGCCGCACGCUCCCGCUGCGGCCCCUCGGUGCUGGCGUAGCCGUGCAGCGCCCGCAGCGCCAGGUAGUUGAUGUUGAGCCAGACGGAGCCGCGCCAGUACGGGGGGUCGUGCUGCGUGUUGCGCCGCAGGUAGAAGGCGCUGUCCCGCGCCAGCGAGCGCAGCCCAAAGGGCGACCAGAGCUGCCCCUCGCUGCGCAUGGCGGCCAGCACCGCGGGCAGGCGCGGCGAGUCCGGCCGCAGCAGCUGCAGCAGCACCGGGAAGAGGCUCACGUAGCCCAAGGCGUCCACGAAGCGCAGCCGCGGUGCCUCCCGCACCUCCCGCAGCAGCUGCGGCGCCGCCGGGGGCUGCCCCGGGGCCGCGGGUGCCGGCGGCUGCCAGCGCAGGGCCACGGCCGCGCUGUGGUUGCCGUAGUCUGCGAAGGCGCCGAGCUCGGGCGCCCAGUGCAGCCGCUCCAGCAGCUCGUUGUCCCCGAGCGCCUGCGCCGCGGCGCGGAACGGCUCCGCCGGCUCGCCCAGGCGCUCGGCCAGCACUGCCAGCACGCGGGCGCCCAGCGCCAUCCAGCAGUAGAGGUCCAGGUGCCGCUCCUGCGGGGACGGGUGCGAGGCGCGGGGGUAAUCGUCGAGCCCCGACGCCAGCGUCUUGGGGUUGAGGAACCGCUCGUGCUCGGCGUCGCGCCCGCGCCAGCGGAAGCUCAGCGGCUCCGGCCCGGCCUGCGUGCGGUUGAGCCACGCGUACCAGGCGAGCAGGCGCGGGAAGAGGCGCCGCAGGAAGGGCCGCGGCGCCGCAGGCAGCAGCCGCUCCAGCGCCAGCAGCAGCGUCGGGGGGUUCGCGGUCUCGCUGCGCUGCAGCACGAACUCGGGGGGCACCUUGGCCCGUGCCUCGUCCCCCAGGAUCUGCUCCCGCGGGAUCCAGCCCUCGGCGUUCAUCAGGUCCAGCCAAUGCGCCACCACCUCGCGGCUCAGCGCCGGGUCCCAGCGCGCCACCAACAGCUGGUGGAAGCCCUCGUCCCACAGGAAGCCGCGGGGGAAGAAGGAGCGGGAAGGGACGGCGGUGAAGAGCGCGGCCUCGGCGCCGGGCACCGCGCGCUCCCCGGGCGCCGCCUGCACCAGCGAGUGCCCAUGGAAGUAGCCGAUGCCGCCCAGCACCUCGCUGAGCGCCGCCUGCGCGAAGCGGCGCUGCGGCGCCGUGAAGCCCUUCCCCGCCAGCCCGAAGGUGGCCUCGAAGCGCUGCUGGAACGCGGCCUCGUGCCGCGCCAGGGCCGCGGAGAAAGCGGCUCCCGCCAGGGGCGCCGGGGCCGGCGCCGCGCUGCCCGACUCGAACGUCACCUCCACCGCGGCCGGCGGCUCCAGCGUCACCUGGUGCAGCAGCACCCGCCCGCGGGGGGGGGCACCGGGGAGGCCCCCGGGCGGGGAGAGGGCAAAGAAGCGGCGCCGCGGCCGCCCCGGGGCCGAGAACGCGGCGCGGGGGCUGAGGCUGCUCCGCACCAGCUCCGUCAGACGGUGCAGCCCCGGGCUCGGCGCCUCCAGCCAGUGGUAACUGGGGACGGGAAGAGGCCGUCAGGGAUGGGGACACAGGGGGGACGCAGCGGGACGCGGCCGUGCCGUACCUGGCGUGUUUGGGGUCCUCGGAGCUCAGCACCGUGGGGCGCAGGAAGCUGA